AGACAUAGUAGUCAAGAAAACUCUCAAGGCAAGGGAAGGCGUUUGAUAUGGGGAAGAUUUACAUCUCAGAAUCAGAUGAUGAUGAUGGAGGUUUGGAUCUUAAAGUGAUUCUAGUUUUGAUCGCAUUAGCUUUCCUGUUGAUGUCUGUCUGCAUCCCUACAAGGCGGCCAAGGGCUUAUGCUGUGUAUCGCUGCUGUUAGAUACUAUCCCUACAAGCUUUCUCUCUGUUUCCUCUGUUUUCAUUAUGUCUUGCAUUUAACACAACUUUUCCCUCUUCUUUCUGAGGAGAAAGAAGAAUGUUGUGUAGUUGUUCUUGCGAAAAGUAGUCACAGAAAUGGAAUUAUCUUGUUUCUUGCUUUUCUAAUAAAAGACAUGGUACUAUGAUUCAUG
RNAcentral lists this unclassified non-coding RNA (390 nucleotides) under Hevea brasiliensis (rubber tree). The record is from RNAcentral. Lineage: Eukaryota; Viridiplantae; Streptophyta; Magnoliopsida; Malpighiales; Euphorbiaceae.